Molecule: ribosomal RNA, 1374 nt
Filed under: uncultured bacterium
Lineage: Bacteria
Description: bacterial SSU rRNA
Rfam family: Bacterial small subunit ribosomal RNA
Source: RNAcentral
GGAUGAACGUUGGCGGCGUGCCUAAUACAUGCAAGUCGAACGAAGGUAGCAAUACCUUAGUGGCGAACGGGUGAGUAACACGUAGGUAACCUGCCUUUCAGUUGGGGAUAACCGAGGGAAACUUUGGCUAAUACCGAAUUCGUGCUUCGAAGGCAUCUUCGGAGCAUAAAAGGGGCCUUUAAAGCCUCGCUGAUUGAUGGACCUGCGGCGCAUUAGUUAGUUGGUGAGAUAACAGCCCACCAAGACGAGGAUGCGUAGCCGACCUGAGAGGGUGAUCGGCCACACUGGAACUGAGACACGGUCCAGACUCCUACGGGAGGCAGCAGUAGGGAGUUUUCGGCAAUGGGGGAAACCCUGACCGAGCAACGCCGCGUGAGUGAUGAAGGUCUUCGGAUUGUAAAGCUCUGUUAUAAGGGAAGAACGGCAGCUAGAGGAAAUGCUAGCUGUUUGACGGUACUUUAUGAGAAAGCCACGGCUAACUACGUGCCAGCAGCCGCGGUAAUACGUAGGUGGCAAGCGUUAUCCGGAAUUAUUGGGCGUAAAGAGUGAGCAGGCGGCAGUUUAAGUUUGGAGUCAAAGCGAGGGGCUCAACCCCUUAACGCUCUGAAAACUGAACAGCUAGAGUGCGAGAGAGGUAAGUGGAAUUCCAUGUGUAGCGGUGAAAUGCGUAGAUAUAUGGAGGAACACCAGUGGCGAAGGCGACUUACUAGCUCGAUACUGACGCUCAGUCACGAAAGCGUGGGUAGCAAAUAGGAUUAGAUACCCUAGUAGUCCGCACAGUAAACGAUGAAUACUAGUUGUUUGCGAUAUACAGCAAGUGACACAGCGAAAGCGUUAAGUAUUCCACCUGGGGAGUACGUUCGCAAGAAUGAAACUCAAAGGAAUUGACGGGGGCCCGCACAAGCAGCGAGGUAUGUGGUUUAAUUCGAGGCUACACGAAGAACCUUACCUGGGCUUGACAUGUAAGUGAAAGGGUUAAGAAACUAACUCUCUCUUAUGUAGCAAUACAUAAGACACUUACACAGGUGGUGCAUGGUUGUCGUCAGCUCGUGCCGUGAGGUGUAAGGUUAAGUCCUUGAACGAGCGCAACCCUCCCUGUUAUUUGCUAUAAGUUCUUAUGAGCUUAGCACUAUAACAGUACCGCUACCGACAAGGUAGAGGAAGGCGAGGAUGACGUCAAAUCAUCACGCCCCUUAUGUCCAGGGCUACACACAUGCGACAAUGGUUGGUACAGAGGGAAGCAAUAGAGUAAUCUGGAGCAAAUCCCCAAAAACCAGCCCCAGUACAGAUCGAGGGUUGAAACCCACCCUCGUGAAGAUGGAGUUGCUAGUAAACGCAGGUCAGCUACACUGCGUUGAAUAUGUUCCCGGGCCU